Long non-coding RNA from Rana temporaria (common frog), 277 nucleotides. RefSeq lists it as uncharacterized. Lineage: Eukaryota; Metazoa; Chordata; Amphibia; Anura; Ranidae. The record is from RefSeq and is a predicted model, not a curated record. The transcript has 3 exons.
UACCAAACCCGAAGGGCAACAUCUAACCUCCCUGUUCUCAUUUCAGGGGUGAUCCGUUUCAGGUGAAAAUGAAUGUUGCAAUCACUUCUGGCUACCUCGCUUAUGACUUGUUGUUUUUUGCUCGUCAUUGGAAGGAGAUGAGAGACCCUUAUAUGGUCUGCCACCACUUUGCAGUGUUCUACUCUUAUGGAUAUGUACUGAACCGAGGAGUGCUGCCAUAUUUCGCCAAUUUCCGGUUAAUAUCUGAACUUUCAACACCCUUUGUAAAUCAGAGGUG